RNAcentral lists this unclassified non-coding RNA (451 nucleotides) under Hevea brasiliensis (rubber tree). The record is from RNAcentral. Lineage: Eukaryota; Viridiplantae; Streptophyta; Magnoliopsida; Malpighiales; Euphorbiaceae.
UUGUCUAAUGUGUUCUUAGAUAGAAGAAGUAGCCAAUUGUGCCUAGGGAGUAGUUACUUUGUUAGCAAAAGGAUGAAUCAAGGCCUAUAAUUUUCAAAGCUGCCAGGAGGACAUCUUUUCUCGAGUCUCAAUCAUUUUUAUUUCCAAAUAUCCUUAUUUGUGUCUUAGAUGAAUGUUAAUUAUCUUGGUGAUUUUAAACAAUAGAUACUAAAGUGUCAAAUGCAGAAUUUUGGAGGGACUUCGUAAAAGUCCUAAGAGUGAAAGAUUAUUGUUUUGUUCAAAUUUUGUUGUGAUGUUGAUUUCUAUUAAUUGUUUGGUAUCUUUAAUUUUGUCCCAAAGCUUCAAGUCUAUUGUUUCCUAAAACAAGUGUUUCAAGAUGAAUAGAAUGUAUAAUUCAUGGGUUUUUAUUUAUGGCUUCUCAUGUGGUUAUAAGCAGGCUUGCAAAUGAAGU